Molecule: ribosomal RNA, 253 nt
Filed under: uncultured bacterium
Lineage: Bacteria
Description: partial 16S ribosomal RNA
Rfam family: Bacterial small subunit ribosomal RNA
Source: RNAcentral
UACGAAGGGGGCUAGCGUUGUUCGGAAUUACUGGGCGUAAAGGGCGCGUAGGCGGCCAGGUACGUUAGAUGUGAAAGUCCUGAGCUUAACUUGGGGAUUGCAUUUAAUACGGCUUGGCUAGAGAGCGAGAGGGGAUAGUGGAAUUGUGCGUGUAGAGGUGAAAUUCGUAGAUAUGCACAAGAACACCGAUGGCGAAGGCAGCUAUCUGGCUCGCUACUGACGCUAAGGCGCGAAAGCGUGGGGAGCAAACAGG